RNAcentral lists this ribosomal RNA (247 nucleotides) under uncultured Lysobacteraceae bacterium. Its description in RNAcentral is "uncultured Xanthomonadaceae bacterium partial 16S ribosomal RNA". It matches the Rfam family "Bacterial small subunit ribosomal RNA", at positions 796 to 1041 of the family's 1533-position model. Lineage: Bacteria; Pseudomonadati; Pseudomonadota; Gammaproteobacteria; Lysobacterales; Lysobacteraceae. The record is from RNAcentral.
CACGCCCUAAACGAUGCGAACUGGAUGUUGGGUUCAACUAGGAACUCAGUAUCGAAGCUAACGCGUUAAGUUCGCCGCCUGGGGAGUACGGUCGCAAGACUGAAACUCAAAGGAAUUGACGGGGGCCCGCACAAGCGGUGGAGUAUGUGGUUUAAUUCGAUGCAACGCGCAGAACCUUACCUGGCCUUGACAUCCACGGAACUUUCCAGAGAUGGAUUGGUGCCUUCGGGAACCGUGAGACAGGUGC